RNAcentral lists this ribosomal RNA (483 nucleotides) under uncultured bacterium. RNAcentral describes it as "partial 16S ribosomal RNA". It matches the Rfam family "Bacterial small subunit ribosomal RNA", at positions 28 to 507 of the family's 1533-position model. The record is from RNAcentral.
GACGAACGCUGGCGGCGUGCUUAACACAUGCAAGUCGAACGCUGAAGCUCAGCUUUUGUUGGGUGGAUGAGUGGCGAACGGGUGAGUAACACGUGAGUAACCUGCCUCCUUCUUUGGGAUAACGCCCGGAAACGGGUGCUAAUACUGGAUAUUCACUGGUCUUCGCAUGGGGGUUGGUGGAAAGGGUUUUUCUGGUGGGGGAUGGGCUCGCGGCCUAUCAGCUUGUUGGUGGGGUGAUGGCCUUCCAAGGCUUUGACGGGUAGCCGGCCUGAGAGGGUGACCGGUCACAUUGGGACUGAGAUACGGCCCAGACUCCUACGGGAGGCAGCAGUGGGGAAUAUUGCACAAUGGGCGCAAGCCUGAUGCAGCGACGCCGCGUGAGGGAUGGAGGCCUUCGGGUUGUGAACCUCUUUCGCUCAUGGUCAAGCCGCAACAAUGGUUGUGGUGAGGGUAGUGGGUAAAGAAGCGCCGGCUAACUACGUG